This 441-nucleotide ribosomal RNA is filed under the name uncultured bacterium. Its description in RNAcentral is "bacterial SSU rRNA". It matches the Rfam family "Bacterial small subunit ribosomal RNA", at positions 338 to 795 of the family's 1533-position model. The record is from RNAcentral.
CCUACGGGUGGCAGCAGUGGGGAAUAUUGCGCAAUGGGGGGAACCCUGACGCAGCAACGCCGCGUGAAGGAAGAAGGCCUUCGGGUCGUAAACUUUUGUCUUCUGGGAAGAAAGAUGACGGUACCAGAGGAGGAAGCCACGGCUAACUACGUGCCAGCAGCCGCGGUAAUACGUAGGUGGCGAGCGUUGUCCGGAAUUACUGGGUGUAAAGGGUGCGUAGGCGGGUAUAUAAGUCAGAUGUGAAAUACCGGGGCUCAACUCCGGGGCUGCAUUUGAAACUAUAUAUCUUGAGUGCAGGAGAGGAAAGCGGAAUUCCUAGUGUAGCGGUGAAAUGCGUAGAGAUUAGGAGGAACACCAGUGGCGAAGGCGGCUUUCUGGACUGCAACUGACGCUGAGGCACGAAAGCGUGGGGAGCGAACAGGAUUAGAUACCCCGGUAGUC